CCCUCUCAAUCAAUAGAGGCUAGAUCGGACUAAGGAGCGAGACGGUUGAGUACGGAAGCGAAAGCGGAGAUAUAGGCUAGCUAAAUGCCCAGUGAGAAGACUUACAUGAGUAAGGAGAAAUCCGAAUGACUAGUGGCCAUAACUCAUUAAGCAAUCUUAACCUUUUUCGCUUAGCCUUUCCUCUUUCUACCGUUACGAGAUGCAGUAUCCUCAUACGUCUUUGCACGGUUUUCGACCGGGAUUCGGACUCGGACUCGGACUCGGAAUCGGAAGGGAAGAGGUUUCCUCGUUGCAUCUUUACACACAGCAUUGGUUCUGUCCCUUACCUUACCCUUAUCGCCCGUCGGGCGUCAAGGUUCGCAUUAGAUCCCCUUAUCUAUCGUC
This is a non-coding RNA of Lupinus albus (white lupine), 384 nucleotides long. Lineage: Eukaryota; Viridiplantae; Streptophyta; Magnoliopsida; Fabales; Fabaceae. The record is from the annotation of a GenBank genome assembly.